AUUGAACGCUGGCGGCAGGCCUAACACAUGCAAGUCGAACGGUAACAGGAAACAGCUUGCUGUUUCGCUGACGAGUGGCGGACGGGUGAGUAAUGUCUGGGAAACUGCCUGAUGGAGGGGGAUAACUACUGGAAACGGUAGCUAACACCGCAUAACGUCGCAAGACCAAAGAGGGGGACCUUCGGGCCUCGUGCCCUCGGAUGUGCCCAGAUGGGAUUAGAUAGUAGGUGGGGUAACGGCUUACCUAGGCGACGAUCCCUAGCUGGUCUGAGAGGAUGACCAGCCACACGGGAACUGAGACACGGUCCAGACUCCUACGGGAGGCAGCAGUGGGGAAUAUUGCACAAUGGGCGCAAGCCUGAUGCAGCCAUGCCGCGUGUAUGAAGAAGGCCUUCGGGUUGUAAAGUACUUUCAGCGGGGAGGAAGGGAGUAAAGUUAAUACCUUUGCUCAUUGACGUUACCCGCAGAAGAAGCACCGGCUAACUCCGUGCCAGCCGCCGCGGUAA
This 506-nucleotide ribosomal RNA is filed under the name uncultured bacterium. RNAcentral's name for it is "partial 16S ribosomal RNA". It matches the Rfam family "Bacterial small subunit ribosomal RNA", at positions 30 to 523 of the family's 1533-position model. The record is from RNAcentral.